UGGGGAAUAUUGCACAAUGGGCGCAAGCCUGAUGCAGCCAUGCCGCGUGUAUGAAGAAGGCCUUCGGGUUGUAAAGUACUUUCAGCGAGGAGGAAGGCGUUGUGGUUAAUAACCGCAGCGAUUGACGUUACUCGCAGAAGAAGCACCGGCUAACUCCGUUCCAGCAGCCGCGGUAAUACGGAGGGUGCAAGCGUUAAUCGGAAUUACUGGGCGUAAAGCGCACGCAGGCGGUCUGUCAAGUCGGAUGUGAAAUCCCCGGGCUCAACCUGGGAACUGCAUCCGAAACUGGCAGGCUAGAGUCUUGUAGAGGGGGGUAGAAUUCCAGGUGUAGCGGUGAAAUGCGUAGAGAUCUGGAGGAAUACCGGUGGCGAAGGCGGCCCCCUGGACAAAGACUGACGCUCAGGUGCGAAAGCGUGGGGAGCAAACA
RNAcentral lists this ribosomal RNA (427 nucleotides) under uncultured bacterium. RNAcentral describes it as "partial 16S ribosomal RNA". It matches the Rfam family "Bacterial small subunit ribosomal RNA", at positions 355 to 774 of the family's 1533-position model. The record is from RNAcentral.